This 2415-nucleotide ribosomal RNA is filed under the name Triticum aestivum (bread wheat). Its description in RNAcentral is "partial small subunit ribosomal RNA". The record is from RNAcentral. Lineage: Eukaryota; Viridiplantae; Streptophyta; Magnoliopsida; Poales; Poaceae.
AGGGGGAGAGAGAGAGAGAGAGAGAGACUGCUGAGACUGCUGAACGAUCGAUCGAGGAGGCCGAGUUGCCUUCGAUCGCUAGCGGUAUCGGAGACGCUGACGACGUGGGCGUGAACUUGUCAACUCAGGAAGAAGAAGAAGAAGUACAUGGACGUCAAACAUAGUUCUCCGAAAGCGGCAGCUCUAAUCCACCUCUUCGAGCACGAAUAAGCGGCCUGCCUGCAGAGUCAAACAAAGGCGCUAGGAAGUUCCCGAAGGGCAGGAUAAAAUAGGAAAAUUAUGACGGCGCCGACUCCGAUUUAUAGUCUAGCCUACUACGUAACGGGCGGAUGCAUGGUGGCAUCACCAAAAGGCUGCUGCUGGGUGUCUUAUCAUGGCAUGAUGACGGAAAAGUAAACCGUGUUCCGCCCGCUCCGCGGUUUUCAUACGGUUAACCCGGCGCGUAAUGCGGUUCAACGUGCGAGAACAAGACUACAGCUAACCGGGGGAAUACAUGAUGCUCGGCUCGAACAACGGCUCCCCUAUUCACAAACGAACGAAGGAGGGAAAGCAGGGAGGUGACAAGCGAAUGAUCGAACCCAAGCCGGCACCACGCACGUCUCUUCUUCGUCGUCGUCUUCGUCUUAAUAAUCUCCGCGUUUCCGAACGCACGCCAGAGUUCCUUGGGGCUUUUUCCGGCUCUUCUUUUCUUCUAUUUUCCAUCAACUCAUCAGAACGUGCGCAGGUACCCAACGCCGAAUAGCUGCGGCCUGUUGCUGCCGCCCCCGCCGCGCGCCUCCUUCGUCCCCUCGCACCCCCUGCAGCAGCAGAAGGAGGGCCCCGAGGCCCGCGGGUACCCGCACCUGAACAGGGUCCGCGAGCGCCCCGCGGACCUGUUCCCGCGGCACCUCUCCGACAGCCGGGACUCUCGCGCGCAGCAGCUGUACCGUUACGUUCUUAGCCGCCACCGGGACUUCGGGUCCGCCUUCCGGCGGCGUGCCGUUCCUAGAUCGUGACGGUUAGAGAACGUCCGCGACCUUCUGAUGAACGGUGAAGACGAUCCUAACCACUUUCUUCCACCACUCAACUCCGUGUCGCACGUCAAACACACCUGAUUGGUUCUCCUGUUCCGGCUCCUCUGCCGGUACCGCCUACGUACCAUGCUCCACGACAGGCACGACGUAAACUACCGGUACCAGACGAACGACGUCCGGUUGAGGGACGAGGAAGGUUCCCGAAUGCCGCUACCAAUGCCCGGUGCCCAGAGACUUCUCUCGUCUGCACGGUGACAGCUGCAAAAGAACUUUCGUAGACCGAUGAACCUGACGCGUUAAGCUGUUCACGAGGGUGUCUAUGGUAGUCUUGAUUCCUCUGUUGAAGGUCAUCUGGACCGACUUCCGUUGGAGUUUCGAGAAUCGGACGUUCGAGAGCCAGUCCCACAACUGUACGUCGAACCCGACCGUUAGCUAUCGGGUUUCCGGUGUGAUCGACAUUUUUCCGCGAAUCGAACACUCUACCAGUUUAUAACCGUGGUCCAAGUCCUCUCGUAAGGUCUAGAAGGACACAGGCUGCCUACCCCCUUUUUUGUAGAUGAUAAACAGUUUACCUUCAUGCAGCUUCGCUUCAGACGUCGUAUGAUGAAGGUACCAAACUAAGAACUGCUUCCUUUGUCACUCUUUAGAGUGCCUUACCGUUAUCGUCGUAACCUUCGAAGCCUCCUUAAAGACUUUCUUUCGUUUUCCCGGAGACUUCAAAAGGUACGUUGAGGAGGUUGUAGAUCCUCGGGGUGAGGUAAACCUUGUCGAUUCAUAGACAAACUGUUCUAGGGCUUUCUCCGAAGUUCGUUCCAGGCCUAGUUGGUCCUGGAUAUAUGGGGUCUUUCCCAGUAACCUCGUGGUGGGGGCAACGGCCUAAAGAGCAACCGUGAUUGUGGACUUCUGAUACUAGAAGGAGGUAAUCUGGGUGAAACCUUGUUUCUUCUGCCGGUGGUCAUUCACAUGUAAGUCGUAAGUCGUUCUCACAGAAGACUACCCUUCCGAGACCGCGAUGACUCUUUCGUUGCUGGUCCUAAGACGGUACGCCUCCGGCCUGUGCUGCGUUUCCUUCACAUGUUUCUAUACAAGGCUGUUUUUUUUAAACUACAGCCGUUUGACCUUCGUUUAAAAUCUUUCCGGACUUCUAUAGACUUCUCGUAAAAAUGUCAAUUUAGAAGAGACUGUUACCUUUGUGUAACAGUUUUCGAACGAAAGGUUGUUAAGGACAUUUUUAAUAUAAAGGUUACUCGCGGUACCAAGGAAAAAGAAUCCUAAAAGACUUGUACCGAAUCAAAACCCCGGUAAGACUCGGAUAAUUACACCAUUUAAACGGUUUGUACUAGGACUAGAAGUAAGUUACGAACUCUGUCUUCGUCGUUGCUACUUUAAAUUUGAUGAGUUG